CCGCUCACCGAAGAAGACGUGGUCACACACAUCCUCAACGGGUUAGAUACAGAUUAUGGUGCUCUUAUCACAUCUGUGACUACUCGUUCCAGUCUGAUGCCGCUAGAUGAGCUCUAUGCACAUCUUCUCAGUCAUGAGA
This is a small nucleolar RNA of Phragmites australis (common reed), 139 nucleotides long. RefSeq annotates it as small nucleolar RNA Z247. Lineage: Eukaryota; Viridiplantae; Streptophyta; Magnoliopsida; Poales; Poaceae. The transcript has a single exon. The record is from RefSeq and is a predicted model, not a curated record.